RNAcentral lists this unclassified non-coding RNA (9796 nucleotides) under Leguminivora glycinivorella. RNAcentral's name for it is "talin-2-like, transcript variant X2". Lineage: Eukaryota; Metazoa; Arthropoda; Insecta; Lepidoptera; Tortricidae. The record is from RNAcentral.
GCUCAUCCAAUGACUUAUCAUCAGUAUCAACACGACGUUCGUACUGAACGGAGUUCCAAUUUCAAAUUAUUUAAAAAGUUUGUGAUAAAAAGUUUUAACUGAAAAGUUUUGGAGUGAAGUUAGCGUCAAGUUGGAUUUUUUAUACGAUUGUUUAUAUUAUUAGAUAAAAGAUGCCGUCACUAUCACUGAAGAUCAUUCUAGAAGAUGGAGCGGUCACGCGAACGAUGAAAUUCCCAAACGGCUGCACCGUCGCUGACGCUGUGCAGAUUGUUGAAGAAAAAGUUCUCACAGGGGGCGCUGGGAAAGACUAUGGACUCUUUCUCACCUCAGCAGAUGAUGAGCUCUCAGGGUGCUGGUUGGAAGAUCCUCGGCGAUUAGACUACUACCUGCUGAAGGAUGGAGAUAGCCUUCACUACCGAUGCAGAGUUAGGACCCUCAAGAUUAGAAUGUUGGAUGGGUCAGUGAAGACGAUGCAAGUGGACGAGAGCAAAUCCGUGGAGACGCUCAUGAUGAACGUGUGCUCCAAGCUGGGGAUCACCAACCACGAGGAGUAUGGGCUGUGUCGUGAAGAUGAGCCUAUGGAGGAUCAUCCAGGCACAGGCACCCUGACCUUGAAGAGGAAACACCAGCAUAAAGAGAAGGAUGCGGCCCUGCAGCAGCUCAGCAAGAAGCUCAAAACUGAUGACAAUGUGGAAUGGCUAGAACAGCACAAGACCCUCAGAGAGAUGGCAGUUGCCCCCACAGAAACACUCCUCCUAAAGAGACGGCUCUUCUACUCUGACCGAAAGGUGGACGCGAGAGACCCAGUGCAACUCAACUUACUGUACGUGCAAGCAAGAGAUGCUGUUUUGGAGGGAAGACAUCCUGUCACUGAAGAGCAAGCGGUGCAGUUCGCCGGGAUUCAGUGCCAGGUGCAGUAUGGCGACUUCCAGGAAGACAAACAUAAGCCUGGCUUCAUUGAAAAUCUCAGCGAGUUCCUACCCCAUACCUACGCCAACUCCUGGGGGAUGGAGAAGAAAGUCAUCAAAGAACAUAAGAAACACUCAGGCCUCACCCAGUUGGAGGCCAAACAUCUUUAUACUAAGACUGCGAGAGAUUUACCUACGUAUGGAGUCACUUUCUUCCUUGUUAAGGAAAUGCAAAAAGGCAAGAAGAAGCUGGUGCCCCGUCUGCUCGGCAUCAACGCCUCCUCAAUCCUGAGACUGGAUGAGACAACCAAGGAGGUACUCCAGGUCUGGCCUCUCACCCAGGUGAAGACAUACAAGGCCGGGAAAGGGGAAAUGUUCACUCUCAAUUUUGGAGAUUACAGUGAAAAAGAAUACUGCGUAAAGACAAACGACGCGUACCGUAUCAGAGAUAUUCUGCAGGGCUACAUCGACCUGAUUCGUAAAAGAAUGGAAGCGGCUUUCAAUAACUCGGGAACUGAAGGGGGCAUCAUACACCAAGCUACUGUGGAGAGUGGGAAAGGAUCCACGAUGGAGGUAGUGUCACACUCAGCACAAAAAACAGUGGAGACCUCAUUUGUUGGGCCCAGCAAAAUUAUUACAGCAGAACCAGGUUCUAAAGCUCAAGCGGUCGGUGCACAGAUUUUCACUGCACAUUCACUGAUCGUGAAGAACAAACAGACAAACGAACAGACUGCUAAGCUUACCGGUGUAACUAUGAGAGGAGAGAUGUCUAUCGACACGGGAAGGAAACUGAACGAUCUAAAUGCAAACGCUGUCAAGAUUGUGACUCUUCUCAACGAUCCAAAUCAGGGCAACAUAGAAGCCGCAAAGCGAAUAGUAGAAGACAUACUUAGAGACUAUCCUACAGUAGUUGCAGGUGUAAAACACUGCAUAGACCAUCAAACUGACGAAGCUGCCAAAAAGAAACUCACGUUCGAGCUGAACGAAUUAAGUGACAAUGUGAACCAACUGAACGGCUUUAUGAACCCUCAGGAUGCUCAAGAGGCUGCAAUGAGAAUAGCUGAUCUCACAACCCAGAUGUACUUCGCUCUUGAUAGCAAUGUGAAGAAACGUAGUAUGUUGGUCAGGAAUUCUCGACAGAGCUUCAUAGAAGAUGAGAAGACCCAGGCGACGUUACAGCGAGCCUCAUUUAUCAACUGCGUGGGUGCAGCUAACCAUGCUAUCGAUGACGCAAGAGACGCCUUGACACAGAAAUAUGACGGGCCAGCGCUAAGUCCUAAAGAAGUGGAAGACCUAGAACGCUCAGCGCGCGACCGGCUGGCUAGACUCAAUGCUGCCAUAGCCAGACUUACUGCAGCACAUUCUGACCCAAAGAAUAUAGAUUAUGCAGCCGCUGUCAGUGCAAUGAACACUAUCAAAGAACUGGUACCGAAACUAGCUAAAGAUGCUCAGUUACUUGCGUCCGUUAAUGAUGGUAAGGACAGAAGUGGUCUGCUUAAAGAAAUGCAAGAGUUAUUAGAUGCUACAGCAAUGAUAGCUCAGAAUGUUGGCUGUGAUGAUUUACAGAAAAUGCACGAUGUAGCCGACAAUUUUGCUAAGAAAUCACGUAGAUUGCAAUUUAUUUUUGGACAUGGAAAUGCAAGAGACAAGGAGAAUGUGAUUAAAGAUUUAUCCAAAGAGAUAGAUGAUAAAACCCGGCUGCUGGUAGCUUCUUUGAACGAUCUCGCUGGAGAGGUCAAUGACCCCAUGGCAGCGAAGGUCAUUAACGCUGCCCAUAAGUGUGUCAACGCUGUUGCCGCCUUAACAUCUUGCGCUGAGCUGACAGCUUCAUCGAUCUACGAGCCAUACUGCCGAAGCGCUCUAUUAGCAACCCUUGAAGACCUGUCAUCAUCAGAGAAACUUCUUGAUUCUUCCUACAAAUCCUUACUUGAUCAGCCUGAGGGCCGUAAGCGGGCAGAUGCCAUAAGGAAUCAGAAUGCUGAUCUCAGGAAGGCUUUGGAUAAACUUAGGAGCCAGCUAGAUGAAAACAAUCUCGAAAAUAAGAGAAGAGAUCUUCAUGUAGCUGUUUCUCAAGCUCAGGAUACUUUAAAACAGCCUUUAACGUCAAAGGCUCUGACACCAGCCGAAGAGAAGCAGCUUAAAGAAUCACUGGCCAAGAAACUUGCUGAACUCAACGCCGCCAUUGCUGGUCUGAUAAACUCUACAUAUGCACGUGAUCCAUCGAACAUUGACCAUGGUGAGGCUGAAUUAUCCAUGGAAGUCAUUCAGCGGUUACUACCAGAAGUUGUCGAAGACGUAAGAGCGUUGAACAGCGGUAAGAGUCCCGCCGAAACCCGUGCUUUGAUGGAUGACCUGAAAGCUCUGUGCGUUGCUACCAACGCACUUGCCGACGGUCACAAUUGCAAGAAUCCUGGGGUACUGAAAACCAUUGCGGACCAGUAUGCCAAAUCAGCUUCCAGACUAGCUUUUGUAUGCACACCACCUACUUCAGCGCAAAAGAAUCAAGAGCAUGUAGUAGACAAGGCUAAGGAUGUGCUAGACCGCUCUACAAUGAUGGUGGAGGCAGUAGACAAACUGGUGAAGAGCCACCCUGAUGACUUCCGGAACAGGGUUGUGGAUGAGAAGGCACAACAGGUGGAAAGGGCAGCAAGUGCAUUGCUUGGGACUGCUCAGGUGACAGCGUCAACCCUGAACACAUCACAUUGUCGAGCAGCACUCCAUCAAGCUGCUGCAGAUCUGUCAAGAGCUAUAUCCCAGCUGGACACAGCUACACAUGAAUUAGUUGGAGCAGACCUUUUGGGACAGCAAAGGAAGAACUUCGAUGAGGCAGUGAGGGAGCUGAUGGCUGCUAUCAGUGGAUUAGAAGAGGAUUCGAAGCAACUUAACAGAACAAUGUCUGCAGAGAAAGAGAAAAAUAGAUUGAAGUUCGUCGCCUCACGCUUGGCGGCGAAAUCUGCUCUCGACGGUGCAGUUGAAGAAUUAAAUAAGACUGGAAAGGUUGCUCCUCUGGCCCCACCUCAAGCGGCUCUGCUUCAAGCCAGGCUCGCUGACAAACUAGCCACUCUCAAUGCUGCUAUUGCUACACUCCUCACCGCCACUAGAGAUCCUGAAAAUCCAGAUUACGUGUUAGCAGAAUCGGCCACCGCUACUAUACAGGAGCUCGUACCAGACAUUGUUAAAGAUGCGAAGACUCUACCCGCUGGGAAAGACCAAUCAGCUCGCGCCAAUAUGCUUGAGCUAUUGCGAGAGCUCUGUGAAGCCACUAAAACAAUCAGUGGCGGGGACAAUGGCGGAAAAGAAGAGGAACUACAAGAUGCCGUCGAAAAGUACACCAAAGCCUCAGGAAAACUGGUGUAUACUUUCAAUCCUCGUGCAAACGCCGCAAAGGAAGAUCAGAUCAUUGACUUGACAAAAUCCACAUGUCAGAAGACGUCAGAACUCCUAGAGAAGGUUUACGAUCUGGCUCAGAAUAUUGAAGGUCAGGUGGCGGCAGAUUUGGACGAUCAAGGCUCUAGGCUGGCUGAUGCUGCACAGAAUCUGCUGACGACUGCUGAGAUAACCGCACCAUCCAUAUCCUCUCCUCUCUGCCAAUCCUCACUCCUAACCUCCGUCUCUGCGUUAUCCUCAUCAGUAGACCACCUGUUCUCGUCUCCUGUGCUGACGUUACCCGAGCAUGCUGCCAGGCGACAACAGCUGCAGAUGGCCAGGGCUAAAGUAGAUCAGGAGAUUGAGAAGUUGAAGGAGGCAUUGAAGGAUGAGAGAGUAUUGGAUGCUGCAGCUAUUGAAAAGGCAAAGAAGGAGAAACUACGUUUCAUCGCAUCAAUGGCAUCAGCAGAAGUGGCAAUCCAAAACGCUGAAAAAGAAAUCACUGAGCCAUACGGAAAGCCUUUGCCAGCUUCAGAAGCAGCAGCUCUCCAGGAUUCUCUGUCAAAUAGACUAGCAUCUCUAAACGCUGCUAUCAAUUCUCUUGUAGUAGCCACAAGUGAUCUCAACAAUCCAGAUUAUCAAGAAGCUGAAACUGCCUCAAAAACCAUUCGAGAAUUGAUACCGGAUAUUGUGAAAGAUUCUAAGAAUCUUAGCAGUACAAUGGAUCAACAGGCAAGGAAAGACUUGCUGGAACAAAUCAAGGCGCUUUGCGAGGCAUCACGCUUGCUAGGAGCGAGCUCAAAAUCAGACCAAUUGAGUCCCGAGGAGCUGAACAAAGCUGCAACACAGUACUCCUUGGCUUCUGGGAAGCUUAACUUCGUUUUCAAUCCUCACGUGGACCAGAAGAAAACACACCAGAUUAUCGACACUUGCAAGGCGGCAUGCAUCAAGACAUCUGAAAUGCUGCUGAAUGUCCAUGAGCUAGCCAAACAGGCUGGAGAAGAUGGCCCCGCUUUAGACACUAAGGGUUCGCAUGUUUCUGACGCGGCUCGCUCUCUGCUCACCACUGCACAGCUCACAGCGCACUCUGUCAACUCCCCCCGCUGCCAAACCGCGCUUCUCGAAUCAUCAGACCGACUUACAUCCUCCAUCGAAGACCUUCAAACCAUAUGGACGCCCGUCGUCAAAGCUCCGAAGUUCAAGGCCAUUGGGGAAGAACUAGCCAAGGAGAAACAGGCCGUCGAUGGAGAGAUAGCAACACUUAGGAAAUUGGUUAAAGAAGGAGCAGGAAUAAAGGGCAAGAAACCACCAGUUCCGGCCAGAACUGAUUCUGAAAAGACAGGCAAGAAACCCGAGGCGCGAGUGAUUGGUGCUACCAAGGAGUUCCUAGACAGACUUCGACUAGAGGGCAGUAUGGAGAAAGAAAGCUGCGGUGAAGCAGUGAAGUCACCGGUGUCGGCAACGCAUCCUCAAACUGAUGAGGAAAAACGAGCUAAGCUCCAGUUCGGCAAAUGCAUCGACGAUGCACGGAAAAAUAUUGCCUCUACUGAACAGAUAUUGCAAUCGGCCUUCGUUGAUGACGGGAAAGACCGUGCACCUCUCGACGACGCUCACAUCCAGGCCCUCAACAAACAGAUGGAACACAAGGUGGCGAGAGCCAACGCUGCUACCGCUCAUUUGCUGGCUUGCCGAAGUGGAGACAAUCCGGAUUACAAACUUGGAACGAAAUGUGUUACUGCAAUUUCUGACCUCAUGCCAACCAUUGCUGCAGAUGCCAUAAGGCUCGCAGACCAGAAAGAUCCAGUAGGGAGAAAGCUCUUCCUUGGAGAUACGAUGGGUCUCUGCACCGCUUCGAAGAAUCUUUGCGACACAGCUAAAACCGAUAGAAAGAAACUAAAAGAUGCCGCCGUUGAAUUCGGUAAUCAUUCAUCGAAGUUACUAUACGCAAUCAGCACCGACAUUGAUCCAAGCCAGGAGAAAGAGAUUCUGUUACGAGUGAAAUCGGCCGGUGACGUGGCUUGCCGCGUGGCGGAACAUUCAGGUGAAGCCCCGACGGCAGGACGCUGCGCGAGCCAGGCUACUCUGCUGAUGUACACUGCCAAGCUCGUAGCCCCCUCAAUCCAAGACCCAGAAUGUCAGGACGCGCUCACCACAGCCUCCAAAGACCUGACUGACCACCUGAAGACCAUCCCCUCAACCACUCCUAAGCUGACACAGGAGAUCAUGGAGCUGGAGAAGAUUCUAGAAGCCUUGAGGAGUGACGUGGCAAGUGGAAACCUGGUGAAGAAGAAGGAGGAGAAACUGGUGAUUGAAGAUACGCCAUUGAGGAAGCUGACUGCGCAGAUUAUUGAGGAUUGUAAGCAAAACGCCGAGUGCACGUCCAACCCCGCAGCAGAGCGGAAGGCCAUGGCUGACUUCGCUAACAAACUCUCUGACGGUCUCAGGAUCAUGGAUGUGGCCAAUGCCAGGUGUAAGAAGGAACCUCAUGAUCUAAGAAGACGCGAGGAGUUAGAAGACGCAGUGUUAAACUUGCAGCAUCUGGUGCUGCAAUGCCGACCACGAGGCGGUGCUGUUAACGAAGCGCAGAGCAAUAUCGUCAACCUUUCGGACUUCCUAACCGACGUGUCCACAAACGCCACUCGCCUCCAACGCGCCGCUCACGCAGCAGAAAACAGCGCCGGUCCGCACUCACGCGCAGCGGGGGCCGUGCGCGCGCAGUGCCAAGAGUUAUGUGACGCAGCUGCUAAGGCUACUCCUAAAGAGCUUGAUGCACCUAUGGUUGACGUAGACCAUGCUGCUAAGGAAUGUGUCAGCAGAGUCCAAAAGAUCAACACAACGAUUGAAUGCUGUCCCGAAGGCGCUGGCAAAACUAACCUCCAGAAAGAAGCGCGCCCACUCAACGAGAGCUGUACAUUGCUUCAAUACGCAUCUCAAUCGGCGUUGGCAACGGCACAAUGUGCGGCGCUGGAUGAAGCGCUCAACGAUCUCACAGAUCUGGAGAACAGGAUAGACAAAAUGCUGCAACCUAGGCAAGGAGAGAAAUUUACAGUGCAGACUGUCCCCUCACCUUCUCUGCUAGCGUCUCGCGCCCGUCUCGCUACAGCAGCUGCAGGCGUGAACCGUGAUGCUCAAGAGCUUGCACCAGCUUUCACCCGUUACGUUGCUAAUAUGAGGGCACAUGUUGAUGUUGCUGAUGAGCAGAAGAGGAGGAGGUUGGCUGAUCACCUCAAGAAGCUCCAAGAUCGGUUGAAACUCCUAACUUUGGAAACAGGAAGACAGGUGGUAACGUGGAGACCUGCCAACGAGGGUGAUGUUAUCGCCAUCACUGACGACAUUCUCAAGGAAUUAGAUAGCGCUGAGGAAGUAAUCGGAUUAAAAACCGAUAAGAACAACAACAUAGCUUACGAAGACUUAAAGAAACUACUUCUGCCAGUAGAAACUUACAGGAUGGAAGGAGAUAAGAAGAAACUAGAAGCAAAACUAGAACCCUACGCCACAAAGCUCAACUCUAUGGCCGAGACUUUAACGCUCAGUAUCGGCAAGCCAGGGUCCCUCGCUCGCACUGCCCACGUUACUGCGGAAUCUGCAGUCCAACUGACAGCGUUGGCUAAGGCCUUGAAGAGCGACGAGGACCCGACGAGGAACAGCAAAAUAGACGAAGUGUCUCAAGAGUUAUGCUUCGUAACUUACAACCUACUGAAAACUGCAGAGACGGCGAACAAUGAGCCAAGCACUUUCGAAUCUCGAAGAAGGAUGUUAGAUGCAUGCCGAUCGCUAAGUGAUGCCAUCAACAAAUUGGUAAGAGCCUCGUCAAGCGGAGACAAGUUACAACGCGAGUGCAACGAGAUGAACAGGGCUCUUCAACUGCGCCAGAGCACAAUACAAGCCCGGCCCACAUGCGCGUUGCCGUACGCCGAAUGCGUAUCUGCCUUGCAGACACAACAUGAAGCUAUUAAGAACUUAAAGAGUGAGGAGCCAGUAUCCAGGGAAGAAUUCAGUACCUCCCUCGACUAUUUGGCGUCGGCUGUCAACAACAACGUGGAUUAUGCCGAGCACUGCGCUUACUUGUUGUCAGUAUCGGAGCAGCAUCCAGAGUUAUCCAAGGAUGGUAUGGUGGACACAGAGCGGAUUCAGAAGCUGAUAGCAGCUCUGCAAGACUCCUGCUUCAGGACCACCAGACCGGGCAUCGUGCACCAGGCAAAAGAGGAAUCAUCUCUUCUCUCCAAGCAGCUCUCCGACCUCAAACAAGUUAUACAGGACAGUUCAUCAAAAAUCAAAGACCAGGGAGUCAAGCAGCGUCUCCUGGAAGCUAGCAGUAAGGUGGAAGCAACUGGAACCAAGCUAAAGGGAGAGUUGAACAAGGCUGAUGUUUCUGUGGAAACUCUGACACCUACAGCGUUUGCGACGAUCGAGGCGCUAUCCGCUCUGCGCAGUGUCACUGAACACCCUGCGCUCACGCCGGUGGCGGCACCAUCGCCUGCUGCACAGAAACGGGCCGAUGAAGUCAUACAACAGUCCAAGGAGCUCCUAACACGGGCGUCAGGUCUGAUGAGAGCGAUCAAGACUUCAGAAAGCCAGCAAGCCAUGACAUGGGUGAUGUUCAACACCUACACAAAGGGAGUCAUCGAGAUUUCUGAGAAAUUGGUCACCUGCGCCAAGGAAAAUGGACAACAAGCAGGCUUGAUAGAAGGAGCUAUAGAAGAAGAUGAAGGGGACAUGACAGCAAUGAGCUACGUUCAAACGCAGGUCCUCAUCGCGACCAAAUGGCUCCAGAAACCGUCGUUCAAAGCUCAGAUUAAGACUGACGGAGAACAGGCUACGAGAAACGUCAUCGAUAUUGGGAAAAAGGUGAUGGAGCACCAAAAAGAAGCAGACAGAGAGGAGAUGAAGCACUUAAUAGAGGAAUGCGAACAACUUUUGCAGCAAUGCAGUGCACACUACACUAUGGAGACCGGCAGUGUUCUGAUGGACCGUCUGAAAGACCUGGCCAAGGCAGUGGACCGGAGCAUCGUGACCAUGGUUGUGGAAGACCUGUUAGAAGAUGAGGAACCACUGGCUGACAUGGAUAUCAUGAUUGAUGCUGAGAGAGACGAAGCAAAGCGCAAGUUCAUUCUAGAGCGAAAGAUAGCUGAUCUCCUUGCACACCUGGGCCGAGUGACAAAGACAGCACGAGUCCUCGCCGACGUGCAAGGCGGUGAUGGUACGGAGUUGCGUCAGUGCACGAACCAGACUGAAUUGUUCGCUCCGAUGCUGGUGAAAGCUGCUGAAAAGAGAGUCAUGCAUCCUACAGAGACGAGGAAACAAUGCAGCGCAUGAAAGAAGAGUCUACUGCUCACCAGAACGACCUGCAAAAGUGUUCAAGCACCUCUACAGCUAUCAGAAAGCUAGCUCACCGUGUGAUCAACGUCAGCAUGUCAUCACAGAACGCACAGCGCGACCCAGAACUGAUGAGGGCUCUUGCGGCAGCUCAGCAGAAACUCAAAGAAGCUGAGCCAGCGAAGACUUUGCGAGCUAGCAAGCUG